Molecule: regulatory RNA element, 118 nt
Organism: Firmicutes bacterium CAG:227
Lineage: Bacteria; Bacillati; Bacillota
Rfam family: FMN riboswitch aptamer (RFN element)
About the family: The RFN element is a highly conserved domain that is found frequently in the 5'-untranslated regions of prokaryotic mRNAs that encode for flavin mononucleotide (FMN) biosynthesis and transport proteins.
Source: Rfam
AGAAUUCUUCGGGGCAGGGUGAGAUUCCCUACCGGCGGUAUAGUCCGCGACCCGCGCAAGCGGCUGAUUCGGUGAAAUUCCGAAACCGACAGUAUAGUCUGGAUGAGAGAAGAACGCG